GUAAGUGUUAGGGGGUUUCCGCCCCUUAGUGCUGCAGCUAACGCAUUAAGCACUCCGCCUGGGGAGUACGACCGCAAGGUUGAAAAUCAAAGGAAAUUACGGGGGCCGCACCAACGGUGGAGCAUGUUGUUUUAUUUGAAGCAACGCGAGAACCUUACCAAAUCUUGACAUCCUUUGACCGCUCUAGAGAUAGAGUCUUCCCCUUCGGGGGACAAAGUGACAGGUGGUGCAUGGUUGUCGUCAGCUCGUGUCGUGAGAUGUUGGGUUAAGUCCCGCAACGAGCGCAACCCUUAAGCUUAGUUGCCAUCAUUAAGUUGGGCACUCUAAGUUGACUGCCGGUGACAAACCGGAGGAAGGUGGGGAUGACGUCAAAUCAUCAUGCCCCUUAUGAUUUGGGCUACACACGUGCUACAAUGGACAAUACAAAGGGCAGCUAAACCGCGAGGUCAAGCAAAUCCCAUAAAGUUGUUCUCAGUUCGGAUUGUAGUCUGCAACUCGACUACAUGAAGCUGGAAUCGCUAGUAAUCGUAGAUCAGCAUGCUACGGUGAAUACGUUCCCGGGUCUUGUACACACCGCCCGUCACACCACGAGAGUUUGUAACACCCGAAGCCGGUGGAGUAACCAUUUAUGGAGCUAGCCUUUCAAGAUGGGACAUAGGAUA
Molecule: ribosomal RNA, 662 nt
Filed under: Staphylococcus sp. HPC3
Lineage: Bacteria; Bacillati; Bacillota; Bacilli; Caryophanales; Staphylococcaceae
Description: bacterial SSU rRNA
Rfam family: Bacterial small subunit ribosomal RNA
Source: RNAcentral